This 1006-nucleotide long non-coding RNA is filed under the name Olea europaea (common olive). Its description in RNAcentral is "long non-coding RNA (OEUR_LNC013539)". Lineage: Eukaryota; Viridiplantae; Streptophyta; Magnoliopsida; Lamiales; Oleaceae. The record is from RNAcentral.
CGAUGUGAUUAGACAUGAGAUAGGUAAAUGGAUUGAGCUAAUCCGCAUAAUUGGUUAACUUUUUGGAUAGAACCUCGAUUCCUAGCUUUGAUUGGGUAACGUGAGAUUGUUUUAAUUGAUUGAUAUUAACUAAAUUUUCUUUUUAUUGGUAAAGCGUUAAAAUGUGAAGUGAAUUUUAAUUUUUGUAAUGAAUUGUUGCGACUUUGCAGUAUUUGGUGUUGAUUUCUGUAAUGGGAAGUUAAUAGAUAAUAUACACGAUUAUGAAAAUUCAUCAUUUUAGUACCUAAUUUGCUGAAUUCAGUUUAAGAAGCAAGAACAAAGAAAGAAUACUGUUUUCAUUAAGAUCUAUUGCAACCUUGUAAUAAUUUACUUACUUCGCUUUUGUCUCUAAAUUAGGCACAACCUCAUUGUGCACACACCUGUGUUGGGGAAUUCAUUAUUCGAAGCUUUUUCUUAGAUUGAAAUUGUUCGGGUUCAAGCAUUCUUUCAGCAAGUUCUAAUCUUCAAGUUACAAUGUCAAUUAACAUCAGUUUUAGCUGUCCUUAUACAGUUAUUUAUCCCUACACUUAGAUUUGAAGCGUAUGAACAUGGGCCUUAAGAACAUCAAUGGAAGGUGGUGGGGUGGGAGGAUUAAGAUACAUGCACCUACCACUAUCACUAGCUCUACUUGUGAUAUCAGACCCUCAUGGAGUAUUGUCUCUCUCUGAUUUUAAUUCCGUCUUUUCCUUCUUAAAGUUACAAUACACUGCUGCUCUUCUAGCAGUGUAAAUUCUCAUCACCCCUACUUUGUGUAGAUUUAUGCAUGGAUUGGUUGCAAUUCUGCUAAAUUUUGACAUCUAUAUGCCGCUGCACCUACACAACCUGUAAGUUCGUAAUCUAAUAUUUUUUGGAAAUGCUCUGUUCUGUUUGCUUUGUCCUUUUUCUCCUUCUCAACUUUGUAGACAGAAUCUUGUUUCAAUUCAGAGAAGCAAUAAUAUGAUAUUGAAGAAUUCAAAAAUAAACAGCG